CCCCUUGGAAGUCCUCGUGUUGCAUCCCU
This 29-nucleotide ribosomal RNA is filed under the name Atropa belladonna (belladonna). Lineage: Eukaryota; Viridiplantae; Streptophyta; Magnoliopsida; Solanales; Solanaceae. The record is from RNAcentral.